CUGGUACAGAGUGGUUUUGGAUGAAGCUCAUACCAUCAAGUCCUCUAAAACUCUAGGUGCCCAGGCUGCCUUCAAAUUGUCAUCCUAUUGCAUGUGGUGUCUUACUGGUACCCCUCUUCAGAACAAGUUGGAAGACCUUUAUAACCUACUUUGCUUCUUGCAUGUUGAACCAUGGUGUAACUAGGCUUGGUGGCAAAAACUGAUUCAGAAGCCAUAUGAG
This is a non-coding RNA of Coffea arabica (coffee), 220 nucleotides long. NCBI's taxonomy places the organism in Eukaryota, Viridiplantae, Streptophyta, Magnoliopsida, Gentianales, Rubiaceae. The record is from RefSeq and is a predicted model, not a curated record.